This 724-nucleotide small RNA is filed under the name Pongo abelii (Sumatran orangutan). RNAcentral's name for it is "processed transcript". The record is from RNAcentral. Lineage: Eukaryota; Metazoa; Chordata; Mammalia; Primates; Hominidae.
GAUGAGGAGAUGAGAGCCAAUUGUUCCAGCAGCUCAGCCUGCCCUGCCAACAGUUCAGAGGAGGAGCUGCCAGUGAGACUGGAGGUACAUGGAAACCUGGAGCUCAUUUUCACAGUGGUGUCCACUGUGAUGAUGGGGCUGCUCAUGUUCUCUUUGGGAUGCUCUGUGGAGAUCCAGAAGCUGUGGUCGCACAUCAGGAGACCCUGGGGCAUUGCUGUGGGACUGCUCUGCCAGUUUGGGCUCAUGCCUUUUACAGCUUAUCUCCUGGCCAUCAGCUUUUCUCUGAAGCCAGUCCAAGCUAUUGCUGUUCUCAUCAUGGGCUGCUGCCCGGGGGGCACCAUCUCUAACAUUUUCACCUUCUGGGUUGAUGGAGAUAUGGAUCUCAGCAUCAGUAUGACAACCUGUUCCACCGUGGCGGCCCUGGGAAUGAUGCCACUCUGCAUUUAUCUCUACACCUCGUCCUGGAGUCUUCAGCAGAAUCUCACCAUUCCUUAUCAGAACAUAGGAAUUACCCUUGUGUGCCUGACCAUUCCUGUGGCCUUUGGUGUCUAUGUGAAUUACAGAUGGCCAAAACAAUCCAAAAUCAUUCUCAAGGUGCAGGACAAUUUCCUUAGAAACUGGAGCUCAGAAUAUUCAGAUGUGCAUCACCAUGCUCCAGUUAUCUUUCACUGCUGAGCACUUGGCCCAGAUGUUGAGUUUCCCACUGGCCUAUGGACUCUUCCAG